RNAcentral lists this ribosomal RNA (867 nucleotides) under uncultured Gemmatimonadota bacterium. Its description in RNAcentral is "bacterial SSU rRNA". It matches the Rfam family "Bacterial small subunit ribosomal RNA", at positions 35 to 916 of the family's 1533-position model. Lineage: Bacteria; Pseudomonadati; Gemmatimonadota. The record is from RNAcentral.
GGGUGCGGCGUGCUACCAUGCAGUCGCACGGGACCCGCAAGGGUUCAGUGGCGGACGGGUGCGUAACACGUGAGGAACAUGCCUAUCGGCGGGGGAUAGCCGGCCCAACGGCCGGGUAAUACCGCGUACGCUCACCGGGGGGCAUCCCCUGGUGAGGAAAGCAGCAAUGCACCGAUAGAGUGCCUCGCGGCCUAUCAGCUAGUUGGUGAGGUAAUGGCUCACCAAGGCUACGACGGGUAGCUGGUCUGAGAGGAUGAUCAGCCACAUUGGGACCGAGACACGGCCCAGACUCCUACGGGAGGCAGCAGUGGGGAAUCUUGCGCAAUGGCCGAAAGGCUGACGCAGCGACGCCGCGUGUGGGAUGACGGCCUUCGGGUUGUAAACCACUGUCGGAAGGGACGAAUGGCCCGCAAGGGCAGUGACGGUACCUUCAAAGGAAGCACCGGCUAACUCCGUGCCAGCAGCCGCGGUAAUACGGAGGGUGCGAGCGUUGUCCGGAAUCACUGGGCGUAAAGGGCGCGUAGGCGGCCCGGUAAGUAGGGGGUGAAAUCUUGCGGCUUAACCGCAAGGCUGCCUUCUAGACUGCCAGGCUCGAGCACAGUAGAGGCAGGUGGAAUUCCCGGUGUAGCGGUGGAAUGCGUAGAGAUCGGGAAGAACAUCAGUGGCGAAGGCGGCCUGCUGGACUGUAGCUGACGCUGAGGCGCGACAGCGUGGGGAGCAAACAGGAUUAGAUACCCUGGUAGUCCACGCCGUAAACGAUGGGCACUAGGCGUCGGGGGGAGCGACCCUCCCGGUGCCGUCGCUAACGCAGUAAGUGCCCCGCCUGGGGAGUACGGCCGCAAGGCUGAAACUCAAAGGAAUUGACGG